CAGGGGCGGCGGCUAAGACAGUCUCGGCGAGGGGAGGCUGCGCGCACCGGCCAUUUUCAGCAGCUUUGGCGCAGCUAACUUUGGAACCUGUAACCAGGCUGGAAAAA
Non-coding RNA from Procavia capensis (Cape rock hyrax), 107 nucleotides. Lineage: Eukaryota; Metazoa; Chordata; Mammalia; Hyracoidea; Procaviidae. The record is from Rfam.